RNAcentral lists this unclassified non-coding RNA (310 nucleotides) under Hevea brasiliensis (rubber tree). Lineage: Eukaryota; Viridiplantae; Streptophyta; Magnoliopsida; Malpighiales; Euphorbiaceae. The record is from RNAcentral.
CUGAAACCGGCUUUGAUGUCAUAUAUGAAGUUCAUGAACCAAUCAGAUCUAACUUCCUCCAAGGACAUGAACAAUGAUCUCUCGGUGACUGAAAAAGCAAUCCAAGAUGCUUGCAACAUAUCUUGCGCUUUGGAUGCCUCAAAAGAUGUUCCAGCUAUAAACAAAUGGCUAAUUUCCAAAGUUUCUGUCUUAUUGCUAGACUCUAAGAAAGAAACUUGUUAUCUGUUUUAUUCUCUCGUCACUGACGGGGUCUGGUCUCUCAUAGAGAAAUGUCUUGAGCUUCCCACUGCUGAAAUAGAAGGUAUGGUGG